This 68-nucleotide non-coding RNA is filed under the name Lachnospiraceae bacterium. Lineage: Bacteria; Bacillati; Bacillota; Clostridia; Lachnospirales; Lachnospiraceae. The record is from RNAcentral.
AGCCGAAACAGGGAAUCCGUUCCCUGUCUGCCAGGGAUGGCCUACUGGCACUGACGAGGCAGGCCGGA